UACGACCACAUCACAUUGAAAAACAAGCUCUCGUACAAUCAUCGAAGUUAAGCAACGUCGAGUCUGGUCAGUACUGAGAUGGGUGGCCUCUUGUGAAUACUAGGUACUGUAAG
Molecule: non-coding RNA, 113 nt
Organism: Acanthosepion pharaonis
Lineage: Eukaryota; Metazoa; Mollusca; Cephalopoda; Sepiida; Sepiidae
Source: the annotation of a GenBank genome assembly